CAAAGGCUCUGCAUGGCUUAGCAGUGGCCCUGUCUCUACGAGCUCGCCACAUCACGUCACAACUGUCCACGCGUUCACCUCCCCCCACCCCUCCAUCCCCACGCUGGUGCCCGACACACGCCUGGAACGCGCAGAUGGCACUAACUGUUGACUGAGCCGGCAGGUUGAAUGGGAGCGAGACUGUGGCUGAACACGGAGAACGGGGAGGUAGACCCUCAGAGCCUGUCUUGCUACAGAGGCUCCGAAGAGCCCAGCGCUAACCCAGAGCCUCACACCCAGGCGGAACGUCCAGGGGCCGGGCCGGGAGAGGCUUGACUGUCCUCACACCCACGAAGACCCACAGAAUGGCGUUCCAAAUGGCUCCUCUCGGGGACAAAGAGGGGAUGUGAUUUGUCCACUCUGAAGGUGCAGCAACCAAAGGAUGAAGUGAUUUUCAACCCUAGCGAAAGAUAAUCAGAAUUUAUCAGGGAGACGCCCACUACUUGGAGAUGAAAGUCUGUCUCUCACCGUGGCGUGUUAAGAAAAGCAACUGACUUGGGAACUGAAUCCAGCUACACCGCCUGGGGCCCGUGGGCCUGUUCCCCGAGGUGUGACAAUGGAAGUAGUCAUGGGAACACUGGCCUCACAGGUGGCUUUCUGAGUUGUCGCCUCUGACUGCAAAGGAAUGCCUCCACGAGAGGAAAGCCAGCCCAGUCCGAAAAAUACAGUCAUGUAGAAUUUUCGAAAACCGCCAUACGCUAGAGCCCGUAUCCUGGUGGGUAUCAUGAAAACAGAACUCCUGCUUCUUAAUUAAAAAAAAAAAAAAAAAAAAACAC
This is a long non-coding RNA of Hyaena hyaena (striped hyena), 815 nucleotides long. RefSeq lists it as uncharacterized. The record is from RefSeq and is a predicted model, not a curated record. Lineage: Eukaryota; Metazoa; Chordata; Mammalia; Carnivora; Hyaenidae. The transcript is spliced from 3 exons.